UUUCCCUACGGAUGCUCAGGUCCGCCGCAUCUCCUGGGUCCCGUGGGGUUCGGCCGGCACGGAAGCGGUUACGUGGCCUCCUCGAACCCGCUUCCGGCCGGCCACCUC
Molecule: small RNA, 108 nt
Filed under: Chelatococcus caeni
Lineage: Bacteria; Pseudomonadati; Pseudomonadota; Alphaproteobacteria; Hyphomicrobiales; Chelatococcaceae
Description: sRNA Atu_C6
Rfam family: EcpR1
About the family: Perviously named SmelC291, SmrC10, or Sra33. According to its overproduction phenotype it was renamed Elongated Cell Phenotype RNA1.
Source: RNAcentral